Molecule: RNA transcript, 4336 nt
Organism: Boleophthalmus pectinirostris (great blue-spotted mudskipper)
Lineage: Eukaryota; Metazoa; Chordata; Actinopteri; Gobiiformes; Gobiidae
Gene: znf511
Gene name: zinc finger protein 511
Exons: 9
Source: RefSeq, a predicted model, not a curated record
UAGGUGGCAGUAAUGUUAUUUUAAUAGCGUUGGUGUUCACUUUGGAGGCGGCCACUGAUGACGUUGAAAAUUUGCGCCACACAGACAAAACAGUUUCACCAAAACAGACUUUUCUCGCAAGUUAAAUUGCUAUUUUAAUGAUGCUGCAGCCGCAUUUACCCAAAUUUGUGACAGAAGAAAAUAUUUCAGUAAAAAGCUGUGCUGACGACUGUCCGACAUCAAGUGAAACUGGGGGAAAUGAGGAAAACCCGUUCAACUUCAGACCUCAAGUGAUACACCUGCCCAAAGACCAUGAGCUUUUUGAGGAUGGAGACGUUCAGAGACACAUGUACCUGCAAAACUUUUACAUCUCAGCAGCAGAUGAGGAGCCCUCCCUCAGAGUGUCAGAGUUUGCCUGCCACAUCUCUGGCUGUACAGCAGCCUUUAAAACUUUGCAGGAAUAUGAGCACCACUAUAACUCACUGCAUAGACACGUGUGUUGCAUCUGCCGCCGCUCUCUCCCCACUGCCCGUCUCCUGGACAUUCAUAUACAGGAGUGGCAUGACUCUCUCUUUGCUGUUCUGGCACAAAAACAAGAUAUGUACCAGUGUCUGGUGGAGGGCUGUGGACGCACAUUUAGGACGAUUAAGGAGAGAAAGGACCACUUAAUAAUUAUUCACAAAUACCCACCAGAUUUCAGAUUUGACAAAAUAAGAAAAGUCAACAGGGACAAGAGGAGAGCACAGGCCAGUGACACAGAGAUGGAGGUUGUGUCUGAUGUGUGUGAGUCUGAGGGCCCAUGUGAAGUUGUCUGCAGCGAUAUGUCAAACCAAAGUGAAGAUCCAGAACCCAGUCAUAUGAACAUUUCAGAAGAAAACAUUGGUCAUAUGGAAACGUCUGUAUCUGCUCCUGAUCCUAUUGAACCAACGAAACCUCAAUACUCAUACAGGGUUCCUGCAAAUGUGUGCUUUGGUCAAGGUUCAGUGCGUGGAUUUAGAGGACGACGAGGAAAGAGAACUUGACACUUUACAAGAUAUUGAGUUUGGUGACACGGAGGCGCGUUCCACAUGGCGUCUGACACAGAGCCCGGCCUAUAACAUCAAGUGAUAACAGGGUCCACGUCGUCUCCUGAAGUACUGAAAGAAAGGGGAGGGCACAGCAGAGGCCCCUGAAUCAACAACCAUUAAAUUCUCUGCACCCUUGUAUAGAGACACUUUCAAGACUUUAUAAAGACCCCAAGUGCCAAAGGAAUCUAGACUAAAUCUUUUGGCUUGGCACAUGCCUUCUGUUACUAAGUGGCUUCAUAUUGAAAGGCUCUGCGGUCUCUAUUCUGUGUCCCACCGGGUGCCAGCCUCUCUGCCCUGGCAGCUGCUGCGCUUCAGAAUAGCCCCAUAGUCUCCCCUCUGCAGGUGAGCCGCACAGCCAAAACAGGGCCCCUCAAAGGGCCUUUCACUGCCUCAAUAGGAAACUGACUUGGGGAGAGAGGAGCGGGCACACAAUGGCUGCUUUUUCUGGACUCAGAGAAGAUGGAGAUGAGCUAUUGGUGCCGCUUUGAGACUAUGGCUGAAAAAUAAUAGGAACAAACAUGCAAUUUUAAAUACAAUCAUAUGACAUAUGAUAUUUUAACAUAUUUUUGUAAAGAGGUAUGUAGUAUAAUUAAUAUAUUAUUAAGUGAUACAGGAAAAUUAUUAAUAAUUAAGUAUAUCUAUAAUUGAAAACAGAAAAAUCAAACCUCAGUGAGCUUCACCUGUGUGAAGUAUACACUUUUAUUUAAUUGACAGUUUGCCUACAAGGACUGACACUGAAAAUAUCUACUUAUUAUGCUAUUUGAUUAUGGCAUCUGGAUAUUACAUUUACAGGUAAAAGACAAAUGUACUUUUAUAAUAUGCAAUCUGCAAUAUUAGUUUUAUAUAAAAUCAUAACAUAAAAUCAUAAUAAGCACCAUGGCUGCACAAUAUCAAAAUCGAAUCAAAAUUCACCAUAUCACAAAGACUACAAUAAUAGAAUGUCUACAAAAACAAUAUGAAAAAAAGUUUAGAACUGUACAAACAUGUUCUCAAAUGAAUGGGAUUAGUUCAGCUGUUCAUAUUUCUCCUUUCCUGUAUAAAUAUUUAAAAUGUGCAGUGUAACCAGAAUCUUAAUUUUAAAACAUAAAUCACAAAUCUUAUCUUAAUUCUUGUCACACAACUUGCAUUUGCAUUCUUUACAAAUUGUGUAGCCCUCACCAACAAAUAUGCAGUAUAUUAUGCAACCUAUAUACAUUAAAAGACUGCUUAUGUUCUUUUUAAACAAUUCAUAAAUGCAAACCAAUUGGCCCUUGAGCCUUUCUAAACUCCCACCAUGCACCACUGUCUUGUCAUCCUGAGUCCUUCAUGUAAUUGCUAUUCCUUUGAAACCUGAUAAAAAGAAAAAUGUUUUUACCAUGUCCUGGGGUAGUAGGGUGAUACUCCAUUCCAUACCUCACCAGUGUUUUGCCCCAGUCCACUGAGGAGCUCCCGUCCUGCUCAGGCACUUCCCAUACUGUGAGGGAAGAAUGUACUUCUCUCUCCAAUGUCCCAGAGUUUCUUAUAGUUUUAUUGGCAACAGCUUUCACUGGCAUUGAAGGCGCUACAAUCAUACAUUAGAUAGAGAAUUUUUGAGUUUGAAAUGGUAGCGAGUAAGGAACUGGAAAGGCUGGUUAUUCCUUCUCUGUAAUUCACCGUAUCCACAUCCUGAAACAGCCACAGCAAGUCCCCCACAUCUGAAAGAUCGGAGCACAAACCAAGAUGCCUCUAUGAAUGGCGAUAUAGUGCAUUCUGUCAGACAAUUUUUCCAAGACGCUCCCGAGAACAAUUGUAGUCAUUUAGAUGUUAAGGUCAUAGUAUAUAUCAAUAUUUUCCACUUUUUUGUUUGACAGUAAGUAAGUAAAAUGAUCAUGCAAUAGCUUUAAAGGAUGUAAUUAAAAUGCUCGCUAAUUUGAUCCAGGUUUCCCCAGGGAUUAAACCGUAGCGUAGCCGCUUCACUAUAAUACUUUGUGAUCUUUAAAUUAUGACAUUAAGAGAUGAAAAUCGUGCAAAUCAUCGCAAUCAGAAUGGUUUUAUGUGUUCCAAAUGUUGGCCCGCUCUGCUACAGAUUACACAAAUAUUUCUCCAUGAUAUUCGGCUGUUAUUGUUUACAUUUCACAUGAGAUUUAAAACACACAGCGCCUCUAGCUGUCUAAUAUAAUUUAGGUGGGUAAAAGAUGCUAUCAGUCCUUGUCUCAUUUUUCCUCGUUCCUCCUCCUCCUUUAAUCAGUUCCACUCUGUUAUUGCUGGCCCCGGGCUGUUUACCUCUGCACUAAACUGCUUUCACAAGGCUGAGACCAAAGCCUGCUCAAAUGUCCGUUAGACCCUUUAAAAACCUCCGUGGAUGCGGGCCUGACCUCUUGGCUGUUGUUGCCAUCAUUAUGGAAUCAGUGCACGCUGAUCUGGCGUUCUUCGCACCUUCUAAAGCCAGGAAUCACUUUUCCCUCUGAAGUUACUCGACCACUUCUUGAAAGGUUAAGUGGUAAAUAGGGGGCUCUUACAGCAGCAGAAGGCAGGGCAGACUGGGAGAGACAGGCCAAACCACAGAGCUGGAGGACAUUAGGGGCAUAUAUGAAGGCUAUGACAGAUAUAAGCUGAGGACAGACAUGCUCACGAAUGCACCACGCUUGAUGUACUAUUUGCUCUGGAGGUUGGAAGAAGAAAGGAGCAUUUCCUGCUGUUGGCAGCUGGGAGUGAUUUAGUGACAUUAGUAAAAGCCUGUACUGGUAAAUGUCUUUUCUCAGACAGAGGUUCAGAGGGCCAUGUAAACUCAUAAUGUGCCCUAACCCUCCCUGCUCAGAUUCAUCUGCUGUUUGAAAGAACAGUCUUUCACCAUAUAAAAAGUGUUCCUAAGAUUUAACCUUUCAUUGUUUGUGUUUCAUUUAAAGUUUUCUGUGUGGUUUUAGUAACACAAGAAAGAAAAAUAAUUACAUAAUUCUCCCCAUAAAACAUUAGACAAGUCAAUAUAAUUAGCACCUAUUAGCAGAGUUGGAAAGUAACUAAAUACACAAUACUACUGUAUAAUCCUGAAAAUAUGUAUUCAGAAAACGUAUUUUGAGUAACUGUAUUCCGGUACUGUUACUCCUUAAAUUUGUGGUGUUCAGUUUACAGUUACUUCUUAAAAUCAAAGGAAUGCAUUGCUGUAUUUGAUCGCACAAGGUAGACUGCUCUUGUAGUGUGUGUGUGUCUUCCUGUAAUCAUUGAUAAAUAAAUGCAUAACAAAUAGUGAAAAAACUUUAAAAUUCACUUUUUUCUCCUCUUCACAUGAUAAUGUAACUUGACCUGAAAGUAGGCUACUCAUUCACAAUACUCUG